GUCCACUUGACAUUUGUUUUGAGCGCGUAUUACGUAACAUACAGAUUCUGACAGCUCUGAUCCCUCGUGAGUCAUUGGCUGUUUUUUUUUCGCCCAUUCAGCGCUGACAACAAGGCCGAAACAACCAGAAAGAGCUCGCGAUAUCACACAUGAAUUGCCGAACUGUAGUUAUUGCAAUAUUACUUCUUAGGGACCGGUAAUAAAGCAAUAAAAAACGUUUUUAUUGUGACAUCCGUUUUGAAUUUUUAAUAUAAAGUGUGG
Molecule: non-coding RNA, 261 nt
Organism: Paramuricea clavata
Lineage: Eukaryota; Metazoa; Cnidaria; Anthozoa; Malacalcyonacea; Plexauridae
Source: the annotation of a GenBank genome assembly